Molecule: long non-coding RNA, 2493 nt
Organism: Bombina bombina (fire-bellied toad)
Lineage: Eukaryota; Metazoa; Chordata; Amphibia; Anura; Bombinatoridae
Exons: 3
Source: RefSeq, a predicted model, not a curated record
GCCUUUCUCUGACUUUCCAGAUUUGUGCAAGUAAGUAAAGUGUAUGCUUUUAUUUGUUUGGCUUUUCCCUAACUGUGUGCUUGGUUUAUAUUACUUUUUCUGUCCAAAAUGCUAAUUUUUAUCUCUUGACUAUUUUGUUUCUACAGACUUGACAAAAUGAAGGGUUUGGAUGUGGGAGAUACCUAUCCUAAUGCCAUAUCAGCACGGUCAUUUGUACACUUUAUUGCACAGGAAGAAAGAAAACAUACAAAAACAAAAUAUGCAGCUGCCAAGUUUCUUGCAGUCUUGUGUGAUGGUUCAGUUGAUAGUGCAGUGGUGGAGGAAGAAAUUAUUUAUGCUAGAUUUGCAAUAGAAGGCAAGGUACACACAAGAUUUGUGGCUUUGCAGUCAGUUGAAAAGGCUGAUGCUGAAACCAUUUCUCAGGCAGUAAAUGCAGCAGUUACACAACACCUUGACCAGUCGUGGAAGGAGAAACUAGUUGCAAUAGGCACUGAUGGAGCAGCAGUGAUGCUGGGAAAAAAAUGGAGGGGUUGUGCAGAAACUAAAAGGACAGAGAAAGCAUGUUGUUGCAAUUCACUGCAUGAGUCACCGCUUGGAGCUCAGUGUCAGGGACACAGCAGCCAAUAAUGAGAGUCAUCAGAAGUUAAAGGAUCUACUUCUAGGGUUAUAUUUAUUUUAUCACAAGUCAGCACUCAACCGUGCAAAUCUUAAGAACAGCUAUGCUUCUUUGAAAAUGAGGACACUAUUGCCUACACGAGCAGAUGGGACACGAUGGGUAGGCCACUUCUGGCGUGCACUUGACCAUUUCCUCAAAGGUUACAAAGCAAUUAUACAACAUCUUGAUCAGGUAUGUAGACCUCUGCCCCUUCCCUCUGCUAUCUCUAUCUCUCCAGCCUUCCCUUGCUUUCUCCCCAUGUCUCUCAAGACCCCUUUCUCUCCCUCCAUUUCACCCUCCCCACUCCUGUUCCUCCCUAUCUGUCCCUUUCCCCCUACCUCUAAUUCCUUUUAUCUCUCCUGUGCUGCUGUCAUUCACUCUCUCUGCCUCUUUCUCUAGCUCUCCCUCCCUCUCUCUGUCUCUCAAAAUUGAGAAACCAAAAUCCCAGAGAGAGAGAGAGAGAGAAAGAGAAUAAAAAAUGAGAGAUAAGCAGGGCAAUUAUGUAUACUACUUUAUUUCUAGGUCCAAUCUCCUGAUGCAAAAGGUGUGAGAGGAGAACAGCAAGCAAAGGCCAGAUGCUUUUACAGAGCUGCUACAAGUCUGUCAAUGGUCCAGUAUGCUUGCUUCGUGUAUGAUGUGCUUUUACAGCGAUGCAACUUGUCCAACACUCUUCAGAACCGAAAUGCAAGUGUUGCAGAUGUCCACAACAGUUUGGAAGUGACAAAAAAAAUACUGAUCGCUCUGAAAGAGAGGCCUGUACCUGGGUCACUUCUUCAUUCUAUUCAGUAUGAUGAAGAAGGCACAGCUAGGUUUGAAGGAGUUGAGUUGAAAGGAAAGAAUGAUGCCUUCAAGAGUUCAAAAAAGAAGUUUCUGGAAGCAAUACAGUCCAGCUUUGAAGAUCGCUUUGAAGACAUUGAAGAAGGAGUUCUUCAGGCAACAUUGGUGACAUCCUUCAAAACAUGACCUGACAAAGAAAACUCAGAAGACUUUGACAAUGAAGACAUUGUAACUCUGACCAGUCAGUUUCAACCAGUACUAGAGGCACAGGGUGUUAGUUGUAGGGAAAUAGUGAAUGAAUGGACAGUUCUUAAGACUAGUUUGUAUAACAAGAAUGACUGGGAGAAGAAGCUGAAAACGGUCACCUGGCCUGAACUCAACAGAGAAUUCGGAGAUAAAUGUGGCCAUCUUCUGAGUUUGAUGGACUUGAUUCUAACCUUGCCAGUCAGCACAUCAGAAUGUGAAAGAGGCUUUUCCAAAAUGAAGAUGAUCAAAAGUGACUGGCGCUCCUCCCUCAUAACUUCAACAUUGUCAGAUUUAAUGAUUGUAAACCUUCAUUCUGCACCAGUAGAUCAAUUUGAUCCAAGUGAUGCAGUAAGGCAUUGGGAACAGCAGGACCAAGAAAGAGAAAUGUCACAUACAAAAGGUCUACAAAUGAAACAUCAAAUUUAGUAAUUGCUGAGGUAGCAGAGGUUCCAAUCCCUUUUGAUCAUCUUGAAAAUGAUGAGGAGCAAGCAGAAGAGUUUGAGGUGUCAAGACUUAAUGAGGUUUAUGAUUGUGAGUUGAACUUCCCAGAGCACUCUGACUCAGAUUGACAUCUGUUAACAGUUUCAACAAUGUUUCAUGUGCAGCAUAGAUCAGUUACUUUCUGUAUUGACUUCAAUACAAUGGCUGAGGCUCAGUUACUAAUUUUAUUUUCAAAUUUGCUUAAAAUAUAUCAAUACUAGUUCACUAAAAGUCUAAUUUUGCACUAUUCCAUAGUUCAAUGAUUGUAUAAUUGGACCAAUGUCAGGAAUGUAUACAAAAACAAAGAAUACAGGUUUGUGAGAUAAUAACAACAA